UAAAAAAAAUUAAGGUUUUAUUCCUUGUGAGUUAGUUGUCGCCAUCAUCGUCACUUCGUCGAGUUCCAAGCGCCGUCGACGGGAUCGAUCUGACCAGUUUUCCUUCCGUGUCGUGGUAAUUGGCGAUUCUCCACACCGACGAGUCAGGCGUACACCGAGUUGGAGGCCAUCUGGGAUUUCUGCUAUCACAUGGAGAUCAAAACCAUGAAGGUGCGGUCGGCUUCAUCCGUCUACAAAAGUUGCGGCGUUCUCGCUGUGUUGCUGUAUGUCCGUUGUUGUUGAUCAGAGCCGCUGUUCCUAGGUAGUAGAGGAAAAAUCCCACCUGCUGUUCACGUGGAUCGAAGCCAUCACAGGUUGUUGCCCAUUCGUGAGGUCAACCAAACACACUAUUUUUGCCACAGUUUGUGGCUUGCCACACUUAUGGCUGCUACUUAACGUUAGGCAUGGCAAUAUAUAUGUGGCUGGCAUCGAAAUAUACCCUAAAUUUGGUGAAGUUCCUUUUGCUACACGCACCCAAAGAAAGCUAUUAGGAGAUCUGUUUGUUAGCUAUUAUUGCUGAACGUACACAGUUCGUGUACCAUGCUGCAUGUUUUUGCUAGGGUUACACCUAAAUUUUUGUAGAUUAUUUUUUUCUAGUUAUUGCUAUUAUUUCUUUACCAUGUCUUCGAUGAAGUAUGAUAUUCCUCAACUGAAUCGUGACACAAGAUUCGCUCUAUGGCAAGUCA
This 725-nucleotide long non-coding RNA is filed under the name Sorghum bicolor (sorghum). RNAcentral's name for it is "long non-coding RNA (SBIC_LNC011524)". Lineage: Eukaryota; Viridiplantae; Streptophyta; Magnoliopsida; Poales; Poaceae. The record is from RNAcentral.